Molecule: microRNA, 24 nt
Filed under: Macaca mulatta (Rhesus monkey)
Lineage: Eukaryota; Metazoa; Chordata; Mammalia; Primates; Cercopithecidae
Description: Mml-Mir-589_3p* (star (passenger))
Source: RNAcentral
UCAGAACAGACGCUGCUUCCCAGA